RNAcentral lists this long non-coding RNA (326 nucleotides) under Setaria italica (foxtail millet). RNAcentral describes it as "long non-coding RNA (SITA_LNC001705)". Lineage: Eukaryota; Viridiplantae; Streptophyta; Magnoliopsida; Poales; Poaceae. The record is from RNAcentral.
GGAAAUUUAGAACGGGAUGAUGUAGGGCCGGUCAAAUCUGCCGAGCUGAAGAAUGAAAAGAGAAUCCGCCAUGCUGACGGUCCAUUAACAAACUGAAGGGUACGAAAUCUUCGGCCAUACUAUGGCUGGCCUGAUCAAAUCUUUGGCCAGAGCGCAGAGCCUUGUGUGGUGGUGUAGUUCUGUUCGAUCAGGCUGAUUCAAUUGCUGUUUCUGUUGGAGCAGAAGAUCCCACUGGAUCCACCCACCCACCAGUCCCAGUCCGCGCACGCGAUCUUUCCAUUUGCUGGGAGGGCAGGCUGCAGCUGCACCACCAGGUUACGGUAGAC